This 433-nucleotide ribosomal RNA is filed under the name uncultured bacterium. RNAcentral's name for it is "partial 16S ribosomal RNA". It matches the Rfam family "Bacterial small subunit ribosomal RNA", at positions 29 to 507 of the family's 1533-position model. The record is from RNAcentral.
AACGAACGCUGGCGGCAUGCCUAACACAUGCAAGUCGAACGAGACCUUCGGGUCUAGUGGCGCACGGGUGCGUAACGCGUGGGAACCUGCCCUUAGGUUCGGAAUAACUCCCCGAAAGGGGUGCUAAUACCGGAUAAUGUCUUCGGACCAAAGAUUUAUCGCCUUUGGAUGGGCCCGCGUUGGAUUAGCUAGUUGGUAGGGUAAAAGCCUACCAAGGCGACGAUCCAUAGCUGGUCUGAGAGGAUGAUCAGCCACACUGGGACUGAGACACGACCCAGACUCCUACGGGAGGCAGCAGUGGGGAAUAUUGGAAAAUGGGCGAAAGCCUGAUCCAGCAAUGCCGCGUGAGUGAUGAAGGCCUUAGGGUUGUAAAGCUCUUUUACCCGGGAUGAUAAUGACAGUACCGGGAGAAUAAGCUCCGGCUAACUCCGUG